This 210-nucleotide unclassified non-coding RNA is filed under the name Hevea brasiliensis (rubber tree). The record is from RNAcentral. Lineage: Eukaryota; Viridiplantae; Streptophyta; Magnoliopsida; Malpighiales; Euphorbiaceae.
GUUUUGGUAAGGUAUGUUAACUUCAUGUUUUGGACUUGCAUUGAGAGACUACAAGAUGAAACUGAUUACUACGAGGCACAAUUAGCUGAUCUAUAUUAUUGGGUAAAUAAAUAUGUUUGUGUUCCUGACUAAUAAAACAAUUUAUAUUAUAAAUAUUGAUAUAUCUAACAAAUUUUAUAAGUUAGGGAAAAAGGUCUUGAAGCUUGGAGA